This 1110-nucleotide ribosomal RNA is filed under the name Enterobacter sp. RNAcentral's name for it is "bacterial SSU rRNA". It matches the Rfam family "Bacterial small subunit ribosomal RNA", at positions 382 to 1477 of the family's 1533-position model. Lineage: Bacteria; Pseudomonadati; Pseudomonadota; Gammaproteobacteria; Enterobacterales; Enterobacteriaceae. The record is from RNAcentral.
UGUGAUGCAGCAUGCCGCGGUGUAUGGAGAAGACCUUCGGGUUUGUAAGUUACUUUCAGCGGGGAGAAAGGUGUUUGUGGUUAAUAACCACAGCAAUUGACGUUACCCGCAGAAGAAGCACCGGCUACUCCCGUGCCAGCAGCCGCGGUAAUACGGAGGCUGCAAGCGUUAAUCGGAAUUACUGGGCGUAAAGCGCACGCAGGCGGUCUGUCAAGUCGGAUGUGAAAUCCCCGGGCUCAAACCUGGGAACUGCAUUCGAAAACUGGCAGGCUAGAGUCUUGUAGAGGGGGGUAGAAUUCCAGGUGUAGCGGUGAAAUGCGUAGAGAUCUGGAGGAAAUACCGGUGGCGAAGGCGGCCCCCUGGACAAAGACUGACGCUCAGGUGCGAAAGCGUGGGGAGCAAACAGGAUUAGAUACCCUGGUAGUCCACGCCGUAAACGAUGUCGACUUGGAGGUUGUGCCCUUGAGGCGUGGCUUCCGGAGCUAACGCGUUAAGUCGACCGCCUGGGGAGUACGGCCGCAAGGUUAAAACUCAAAUGAAUUGACGGGGGCCCGCACAAGCGGUGGAGCAUGUGGUUUAAUUCGAUGCAACGCGAAGAACCUUACCUACUCUUGACAUCCAGAGAACUUUCCAGAGAUGGAUUGGUGCCUUCGGGAACUCUGAGACAGGUGCUGCAUGGCUGUCGUCAGCUCGUGUUGUGAAAUGUUGGGUUAAGUCCCGCAACGAGCGCAACCCUUAUCCUUUGUUGCCAGCGGUUAGGCCGGGAACUCAAAGGAGACUGCCAGUGAUAAACUGGAGGAAGGUGGGGAUGACGUCAAGUCAUCAUGGCCCUUACGAGUAGGGCUACACACGUGCUACAAUGGCGCAUACAAAGAGAAGCGACCUCGCGAGAGCAAGCGGACCUCAUAAAGUGCGUCGUAGUCCGGAUUGGAGUCUGCAACUCGACUCCAUGAAGUCGGAAUCGCUAGUAAUCGUAGAUCAGAAUGCUACGGUGAAUACGUUCCCGGGCCUUGUACACACCGCCCGUCACACCAUGGGAGUGGGUUGCAAAAGAAGUAGGUAGCUUUAACCUUCGGGAGGGGCCACUUCCCAAAAUUAUAUGGGCUUUUG